Molecule: ribosomal RNA, 433 nt
Filed under: uncultured bacterium
Lineage: Bacteria
Description: partial 16S ribosomal RNA
Rfam family: Bacterial small subunit ribosomal RNA
Source: RNAcentral
AACGAACGCUGGCGGCAUGCCUAACACAUGCAAGUCGAACGAGACCUUCGGGUCUAGUGGCGCACGGGUGCGUAACGCGUGGGAACCUGCCCUUAGGUUCGGAAUAACUCCCCGAAAGGGGUGCUAAUACCGGAUAAUGUCUUCGGACCAAAGAUUUAUCGCCUUUGGAUGGGCCCGCGUUGGAUUAGCUAGUUGGUAGGGUAAAAGCCUACCAAGGCGACGUUCCAUAGCUGGUCUGAGAGGAUGAUCAGCCACACUGGGACUGAGACACGGCCCAGACUCCUACGGGAGGCAGCAGUGGGGAAUAUUAGACAAUGGACGAAAGCCUGAUCCAGCAAUGCCGCGUGAGUGAUGAAGGCCUUAGGGUUGUAAAGCUCUUUUACCCGGGAUGAUAAUGACAGUACCGGGAGAAUAAGCUCCGGCUAACUCCGUG